RNAcentral lists this microRNA precursor (80 nucleotides) under Medicago truncatula (barrel medic). RNAcentral describes it as "MIR5269 microRNA precursor family". It matches the Rfam family "MIR5269 microRNA precursor family". The record is from Rfam by way of RNAcentral. Lineage: Eukaryota; Viridiplantae; Streptophyta; Magnoliopsida; Fabales; Fabaceae.
UUGGAUUAAAUAAAUAUGAGUCCUACAUUUUGGACAUGCAACUCACAUAAAGUGGUGAAAUAUACAUUGAUUUAAUCCAG